CUACGCACUCCUACGGGAGGCAGCAGUGGGGAAUAUUGCACAAUGGGCGCAAGCCUGAUGCAGCCUAUGCCGCGUGUAUGAAGAAGGCCUUCGGGUUGUAAAGUACUUUCAGCAGUGAGGAAGGUGGAUAUGUUAAUAGCAUAUUCAUUUGACGUUAGCUGCAGAAGAAGCACCGGCUAACUCCGUGCCAGCAGCCGCGGUAAUACGGAGGGUGCGAGCGUUAAUCGGAAUUACUGGGCGUAAAGCGCAUGCAGGUGGUUUGUUAAGUCAGAUGUGAAAGCCCGGGGCUCAACCUCGGAAUUGCAUUUGAAACUGGCAAACUAGAGUACUGUAGAGGGGGUAGAAUUUCAGGUGUAGCGGUGAAAUGCGUAGAGAUCUGAAGGAAUACCGGUGGCGAAGGCGGCCCCCUGGACAGAUACUGACACUCAGAUGCGAAAGCGUGGGGAGCAAACAGGAUUAGAUACCCUGGUAG
RNAcentral lists this ribosomal RNA (472 nucleotides) under uncultured bacterium. RNAcentral's name for it is "bacterial SSU rRNA". It matches the Rfam family "Bacterial small subunit ribosomal RNA", at positions 329 to 793 of the family's 1533-position model. The record is from RNAcentral.